GACGAACGCUGGCGGCGUGCUUAACACAUGCAAGUCGAACGGAAAGGCCCUGCUUGCCGGGUACUCGAGUGGCGAACGGGUGAGUAACACGUGGGUGAUCUGCCCUUCACUUCGGGAUAAGCCUGGGAAACGGGGUCUAAUUACGGCAAAGAGCCAUUUGGAGAGAGCGGGGUGGCAAGGUUUUUCGGUGUAGGGUGAGCUCGCGGCCUAUCAGCCUGUUGGUGUGGUGAUGGGCUACCCAGGCGGCGAGGGGUAGCCGGCCUGUGAGGGUGGACGGCCACCCUGGGUCCUAGAGACGGCCCAGACUCCUACUGGUGGCCGCAGUGGGGAAGCUUGCACCAUGGGCGCCAGCCUUAUGCAGCGGCGCCUCGUGUUGUAUGACGCCCUUCGGGUUGUAAACUCCCUUCGCUAGAGACGAAGCGUUUUGUGACGGUACCUAGAGAAGAAGCACCGGCUAACUACGUG
This 465-nucleotide ribosomal RNA is filed under the name uncultured bacterium. RNAcentral describes it as "partial 16S ribosomal RNA". It matches the Rfam family "Bacterial small subunit ribosomal RNA", at positions 28 to 507 of the family's 1533-position model. The record is from RNAcentral.